CCCUUAGAUGUUCUGGGCCGCACGCGCGCUACACUGACGGAGGCAGCGAACAUGUCCUUCGCCGAGAGGUGUGGGGAAUCUUGUGAGUCUCCGUCGUGCUGGGGAUAGAUGGUUGCAAUUGUCGAUCUUGAACGAGGAAUUCCUAGUAAGCGCGAGUCAUCAGCUCGCGCUGAUUACGUCCCUGCCCUUUGUACACACCGCCCGUCGCUACUACCGAUUGGAUGGCUUAGCGAGAAUUUUGGAUCGGAGCCCGGGUGGUCGGCAACGGUCGCCCGGGAGAUCUGAGAAAUCAUUCCAGCUUGGUCAUCUAGAGGAAGUAAAAGUCGUAACA
This 331-nucleotide ribosomal RNA is filed under the name uncultured eukaryote. RNAcentral describes it as "partial 18S ribosomal RNA". It matches the Rfam family "Eukaryotic small subunit ribosomal RNA", at positions 1470 to 1796 of the family's 1831-position model. The record is from RNAcentral.